RNAcentral lists this long non-coding RNA (1425 nucleotides) under Astyanax mexicanus (Mexican tetra). Its description in RNAcentral is "lncRNA (ENSAMXG00005014707.1)". The record is from RNAcentral. Lineage: Eukaryota; Metazoa; Chordata; Actinopteri; Characiformes; Acestrorhamphidae.
CUGAACUUUGUGGGAAUCCGAAUCCAAAUUGGGGAAAAAACUGAUUAAAUCACUGUGUAGAAUCUACUCUCCAUUUAUAAAUAUCUGAAUCAGGUAGGGGACUCUUAUUUUGUAAUGAGAAAGUGAAAGUAAAUUCUGUGCUGGGUGCGGCAGGCGUUCUGGGCUGAGUUCUGCUGCAGGAGCUGUUAGUCUUUGGUUCGGUUGUUUUGUAUAUAAAAAGUAUCUGGGUUCUGGUUCUGGUUCUGAGGGCUGGAUCAGUCUGUCCGGUUCUGAAAGGAAGGAGGAAGAUUGGCCGGGUUUAGAGUGUCCUGUCUGUGAGAUAUCCCGACUGCAGAAAAUGGAGGAGAGAGAAAAGCGUUUAGCAGAAAGAGAAAAACACCUGGAUCAGAGAGAACUACAUUUAACUGAGAAGGAAAAACAUCUGGAUGAACGAGAGACUCGAUUAGAAGAGAUAUGGAAGCAGCUGAAGGAAAGAGAGAUUAGAUUAAAUGAGAGAGAGGAGCGUUUAGAAGGAGGAGAAAAAACCCUAGAUCAGAGUUUGUUUGAGGAACAACACUUUCGAUUAUCCAAUCGAGAUUUUCGACUGGGGAUGAGAGAAAAACGUCUGAGCCUGAGAGAGAGCGUCGCUGUGCCGAGACGCCCGCUGUACCUGGAAGAGGAGCUGAGAGGACUGGAACUGGAAAGGAAAGCAAAAGAACUGAAAGAACUGCAUAAACUGACAAAAAGUUUUCCAGCAAGAGAAGAAACUUGCAUUAGAGUAUCAGGAUUUCCACCUGUCCCACCCCGUACCACAAGAAGAAAAAGCAUCGACAUUCCCCCGUACUUGGAAGGAGAAACGAGUUCACAUCCGAAACAACCUGUAGCCGAGACUAAAACUGAACCUGUAGCCGAGACUAAAACUGAACCUGGAGCUGAGAUUAAAUCUGAACCUGCAGCCUACAGUGGAAGGAGAAAAGGGUCCACACCCAGAACAACCUGCACCUGCAGCUGAGACUAAAACUGACCCUGCAGCUGAUCCUAAACUAAACAUGCAGCUGAGACUAAAACUGACCCUGCAGCUGAGACUAAAACUGAAUCAUGCAGCUGAGACUAAAACUGAACCUGUAACUGAGACUAAAACUGAAACUGCAGCUGAAACUAAAACUGAACCUACAGCUGAUCCUAAAACUGGAUCAUGCAGCUGAGACUAAAACUGAAACUGCAGCCAAGACUAAAAUUGAACGUGCAACAGAGUUUAAAACUGAACCUGCAGCUGAGACUAAAACUGAACCUACAGCUAAGACUAAAACUGAACUGAAGAACCACAGGGCUAACCCUGCUAACUGAAGAACCACAGAGCUAACCCAGCUAACUGAAGACCCGCAGAGCUAAACCAGCUAACUGAAGACCCGCAGAGCUAAACCAGCUAACUGAAGAACCGCAGAG